Molecule: RNA transcript, 8358 nt
Organism: Triticum aestivum (bread wheat)
Lineage: Eukaryota; Viridiplantae; Streptophyta; Magnoliopsida; Poales; Poaceae
Exons: 6
Source: RefSeq, a predicted model, not a curated record
CCUAUCUAGCGGCCGUGGCCACGUCUCCUUUUUUGCGUCUAUUAACAGUGGGAGAAAGGGAUAAGCCCCGAGCGAUCCGUUUGGCUCCACUCCUCUCUCUUUCCCUUUUCCUCUGCCUCGUGCUCUCCUUUCCUCGCCGCCGCCACCCCAACCUAGGCGGCUCCUCUCCUCGUCGAACCAGCAGCCUCCUCUCCAUCUUCACGCGCAGCCUCCUUCCCACCGGGCUUCGCCUCUUCGGGCGGCGGGACGCAGUGGCUCUAUUGAUGGCAGAUGGGGCGACAACGGCGACGCUCCUCGUCGCCCAUGGCGGUCGGCGGCGCUCUGGCCGUGGAGGCCUGCUCCUCAUGCUCCUCCUCUACCCGCUCCACCUCUCCGCGGCCGCGCCCGAGUCCGAGUGCGCCAAGUUCGCCGGCCCGCGCGCGCACCUGCGCUGGCUCCGCUUCAUCCGGCCCGUGCCGCGCUGCGUUCGCCGCGUCGCCUCCUCCUGCGCUACGCCGGCUCCGCCGCCCCCGACCACGCCCCUGCGCAUGCCGCUGCAGCACCCCCGCGCGAUCGUCGGCUCGCUCCGGCCGGCUCCGCCUCUGCCCGGGGCCGGGUGCUCCUCUCCUCGCGCGCCCUCGCGGUCGCAAGAGGCGGAUAUGUACGGAGGAUCCACGAGCUUGGUGCCAUCCAUCCCGUCCGGCGACGCUCACCCCCUCUUCUCCAACGUGUCUGUGAUCUAUUCACUUGCGUCUUCACUGCCUCAAGUGCGCAGGUGAUUCUGCAAACCCCUCUCUAAUUUCUCUCUCUCUCUCUCUCCCUCUCUUGAUUCGGUUGUUGCGUUGCAAGAAAUAUUAUUGUGCAGAGGUGGCUGCAGCUAUGCACAUCUGUUUUUGAGGCUGCAGAUGCGACCACCAGUUGUUUGUAUAAAUGCUCAAGGAGGACUGCUCUGGAGAGGACAACACGUGUGUUUGAAAGAGAGGGAUGGAAAAGAGGGGGCUGGAGUAAGAGAAGAGGAAGGAGUGGAGCCACAUGUUAUUUCUUUGUCAUCGACGUCAUCCCACCAUUAUAGAGACUUUCUUGGAUGACAUGCCUCCCAUACUCUCGCCCCUUGUGCUCCAUCUGUGUUGGUACCCUUUCAUGGUUUCUUGUCUCCUCUUCUUUCAUGAUUCAUUCAUUUCAAAUACUAAUUCAGGUUGUUAUACUAAUUUGAUUGAUGUGGAUGGUGUAAUAAUUCAGGUCGUGCAUGAUGGUGUGCUGAUUUCCUUGAUGCCUCAUCAGGUUUCACUUUUUUGAUACAUUGAUUGGUUACCAAUUUGAUGCAAAUAGCCAAAAUGAAUGGAUAUUACUUGUGGUCAGACUAAAUUUUCCAUGUUCUUUGUGUGUGAUUAUGCUCAAGUUUUGGAAGAAUUGGGCUAAGGGGUGAUUGUGCUCAGGUUUUGAUGCAGGUUCUUUUGAAUUCUGAAACUUUGGUUUGUGAGAUUCAGACAAUUUUAGGAAACACAUGGAAAGGAGUCCAAAUGGGCUCGGCGUACAUGGUUUUCAGUUAACAUGUCCUAUUUUUGCAGUGAGUGAUCGACGAGGGAAGCACAAGGAAAAGAGCAAGCCAUGAAAGAUGCAGUGAUUGAUGGAUUGGGCAACUUGUUCCUGCUAGUUUCUCUAUUGGCAAAGAACAAAAUCCUAUUAAUUAUUUUUUGUGUAUGCAUAAUGUAUAGUUAAUCAAUUGGCUGUGUAUGGUGACAUUAGUAAUGACCUUGACAGUUACAAGUGAAAGGUCAUUCUCAGACCGAAAAAGCAGCUGCGUUGCGCGAAUCCCAGAUCUUGUAAUGACCUCGAACUGUAUUUACACCGGCUUAGAGACCCCUCAGCUGGUGAAUCGGUUGUCCAUGGUGCGUCAGCCAUGAAAGAUGCAGAAGAAAAAUCAUGUUGAUAAAAGCACACACACUCACCAGGUUCAUCAGGUUGCUGUGAGUGUGGCCAUCAUGGCUAUCCCAGGAGCAGGUCCAUUGGUUGCUUCAUUUUCAGCUAUAUGAUAGCUCGGGCAUGCUCACCAGUUGUUCCGUUAAAAUGACAAAACCGACUGAAUUUUAUCUCUUAUAUGUGUUACUAAAUACUAGAGGUGAUUAUUUUCUUUCGGGGGAUUACAGUUUUAUAAGCUUUAUGCCUUUUGAGACUUUGAGGUCCAAACUAAUUAGUCUUUGAGAUCUCAAUGCUUCUAUAUAGAUAUAAUUAGUAUUUCUCACAAUGAGCAUCUCCGAAGCUGCAGCCUAUGCUAAAAGUAGUGCUUAUAGCCGUAGUAGGCGAUACAUCAUUAGAACUAAUGUGUGACACUUAUUUUGCAACAACAACAUCCAAGUUUUUCAACAUUUUACAAUCUUACUAAUGUGUGCCGCCAAGUUUCUCUAUUUUAGAUGGUUCUGUCUUUUUACUUCUGAAAAUGGGUGUGUGUUCUAUUUAGCUAACUAUAAUUCAUUGUUGUAGUCGAAGAUGUUCCCAGGCUACCAUCUGGUUUAGAACUCUACAAUUCACAUCAAUACUGAAUUUGUUUUGCAACUGAAUUUGCAUAUUAUUUCCAAUAUUGCAUCUCAUUGCACUUUGAAGAUACACCGGACUAUCAGUGGCGAUUUAAUUCCACUUAUUUCUUAGCUACAAUAUUCCAUAGAAAAAACAUGAACUUUAAUAUCUGAGUGAUUAGUGUGCUUUGUAUAUCUGAUGUAUCGGGGAACUCUAAUAUCUGAGUUAUAUAUAUGGUUGUCUGGCAAGAUUGGUUUUCACCUAUCUAGCUCCUCAGCUCAAGGUUUUUAAGAUGAUACAUUUCUUGAUACAUCAACUACCCAUAAACGUACCUCAUGUUUUCUUAAAGGACAACUGAUAUCUCAAUCAGCUCACCCUUUUCUGCCAAAAACCUAUCAUCAUGUUCCUUACAAUAAGUUAUGCUUCUGUUUGUACAUUUGCAGCUUAUGGUGCUGCAUCUUUGGUUCUUUUUAUUCAAUUCAGAGCAGGUGACAAUGCCUUAUAUUGAUUGUUCUGGAUAGGUAUUUAGUCGUAAGAGAUAUCACCUAUGUGUCUCCAGAAAAGCAAAAACAACAAUUCACUGUUGAUUUACUUUGCUAUGAUUGCUCCCAUUAGAUUGUCCUUAAAUCAUGUGCAAAACUGAAGUAUUGUGUUGGCUGACUGUCAGCCUGACAAAUGAGAUGGGAUGAUGAUGCAGAGUGCUAAAAGGCCUAAUGGGUUAUCUCCUUGGUAGAUUAAGUUUGUUGGAUUGAUUUCAGGCCGUUGAAAAUAGAUGACACUAUGCCUCCCCCAAUUACAUGUGUUGCUUCCAAGUAGGACCCAUUUGCAAGUAAGAAAGUAAUAAUGAAUUUUCUACUCUUUGUUCUCUGCUGAACUUUCUUUUCUCUUGCCAUUUUGUAUGGUAGUCUUUCAUAGAAUUUUGUGAUAUCUACCUGACUCCACAAGGUCAUGCAACAUUAAGAAUUGCUGGGUUUGAAAAAUGCAGGAUGGAAUUUAUUGUUAAUUAAUUAUCUCUAUCUGAAGCAAGACAUUUUUAGUACACUGUUGAAUAGAGUUGAUGUAUUAGCAUGAGUAACAUUGCGGCAUUCUAAGGGUUGGUGCUAGAACCCCACCUAGAAACCACUGUUUUUCCAGCAACUAUGUGGUUCAUAUGUUGAUGGGAGGAGAACCAGGAGGUAGUGCAAUAUCCUUAUUAGUUAUACUCAGGGAUGCAAAAUCUUCAUCUGAUGAUUCCACCCCUUUACAUGACACUAGCUACCGCACAGUAGAAAGUGUCUCGCCGAUUCUCUUUACGACACCAAAUGACCGAUUAAUGACUGCACUCAUAGAGAACAUAACAAGGUAUUUUAGGAAGUGCUUGGACCAGGUUCAAAUUUUUGACAGUCUUAGGCACAUUUUUUACAGUGUUGGUUUCAAGUUUUUUUCUGACAUAGUUAAGACUUUCUAAAAUGCAGUCUUGAACUACACGUGCUCUGUACAAAGCUUGUUUAGUUCUCUAAAAUCUGCACAUGUUAGAUACAGUUUGAGAGAACAUGUGCAGAUUUGUGAGAACUAAAAAAACUUUGUCCAGAACAUGUCCAUUGAUAGUAAGAUUGUUUGUGAUAAUGAAAGGAGACAAUGCGUUUGAUAUAGCUUGUCAUGAGAUAAUGAAACAAUAGUGUUUAUUUGGUCACCUGCAAGAUGAUGAUGUGAAACGAACGGCUAUUUGCGCCUUUCAGAGUUUCUACCAUUUAAUAGUUUCCCAUAACAAAAUAUUUGCUAAUAGUUAGACGACCUUGUGAUUUUUGUUCCUAUGGGUAAACAGAUAUAAGGUUAAUCGUGUAAGCAUAGCUUGAGCAAAAGCACAUGAGUUAGCUUCUGGAUUGGUAGCUAAAAAUGAGAUACUUAUGGUUGUUGAUGCCUUCCUUUUUUGUAGUAACAUCCAUGUGUCCAGCAUAUGUAGAACAUUAGAUUUUUCUUGGCUGAUUGUUGUAGUUCGUUCUCAAGGUUUGGAAAUCUUUAGCUAUAUUCCUUGUCUCAUGCAAGCAGGAGCAAUAUCUUCUUUAUGCUGUGUGCCGCCAAGUUUCUCUAUUUUAGAUGGUUGUGUCUUUUCGCUUCUAAAAAGGGAUAUGUAUUUUAUUAAUCUGACUAUAGUUUGUGGUAGGUACAUGCUGAAAGAUGUUCUGAGGCUAGCACCUGUUUAGAAGUUUUGCAAUUCACAACAAUACCUCAUAAUUGUGAUUUGAUGUCCAGAAUGUUAAUUGAAGAAUGAGUCUAUAAACUGAACUGCAUUGUAUUUUGUAAUAUAUCCUUAUAUAUGGUGCUUGUGGCGUUUUUUUCGUAAUUAUAAGUUUUUAGAACAAUUCGCCUUCAAUCACUUGCGACCUAGACCAUCUUUUUCUGGACUAAUUGAUUCUAGUUUAUUUAUAUUUGUAAAAACCUCAUUGAUUCAGGUUUCUUUAUAUUUGUUCAGGUUUCGGUCAACGGAAACAGGACUGUUGUAUGCACUUCUUUUACGAAGAUGUACUUGGUGUUGCUUGGUAGGGAGAAAUGAAGUGUGUGCCUCAUUCUGAAUUCUAUCGAGAAGCAACUAUUUUAGUUAUAUGUUAAUUUCUAGGGCACACGAGGUCAGCUUAAAUAUGGAAGUCUGCUGAUAGUGUUCCCACGCUUAUGCUUCAUCCAGGGGAGUGUGCUGACAGUGGAUGAUUUUUUUUUUUUUGUAUAAUUGGUUUGGACAUCAUAAGUACAUACUACUCCCUUCUUCCCAAAAUUCUUGUCUUAGAUUCGUCUAGAUUGGGAUGUAUCUAAUACUAAAAGGCGACUCGAUAUCUAAGACAUGUAUUUUUGGACGGAGGGAGUAUUUCAGUACAAUUUAGGCUAUGGCAGUGUGUUGGAUCCCUAUGCUUCAUUUAGUAUACGCCCUCCCUCCUCGCCUUUUGUCUAGCUUCUCAAUCAAUACCUGGGUAAUUAUGGGGGAAUGUAGCCUCUUCUCUGGUCAAACUAUCGGUCCUUGUUGCGUGUAUCCUUCUUAAUCACCACCUGGGUAAUCAAUUAAUUAGUACAUGAUCAUACAUGUUGAUCUCCUAUAUUCUCAGUGCCUGGGAAGUGAUGCAUGCAUGCAUGCAUGCUCUCAAGUUUAGAUAAGCUAAAACCCCUAUUAUAUUCAGAUAUUUUGUUAUCCUGUGGUGUACACACAAUUUUAGCAUUACCUAACCAGCAUACAACAUCAGUUACUAUCACCGUCAUAUAUCUCACAACAAAUUGAAAGAUGCAUAGACACAUGUAGAAUCAUACACUGCACUUGCUUACAAUGUCUUCCUCUGUUGUCGGCAAACUCAAAACCCCUGUCAAUUUUUCUGUUUUCUCAUAAACGUCACUUGCUUACAAUGUCUUCCUAUUUGUUCUCAGUCCGCCAUGAUGAAAAAUGUUAGGAUCCCAACAAAAGUGCUUCUCGAUGCUAUGAUGCAACAACUUGGCCUACCAAAUGUAGUGUAGUCAACUCAACACAAAAGGCAACGGCCAUUGGUCUUGACGCAACGAUUCAGUUCUAUCCAUCAGUUCUAUCCAUCUAAGGAGCAAUUACGCAAUGGUCUUCCAAAGUACUCCCUCCGCUUCUAAAUUUUUGUCUUAAAUUUGUCUAAAUACGGAUGUAUCAAGUCACUUUUUAGUAUUAGAUACAUCCGUAUCUAGACUAAUCUAAGACAAGAAUUUUGAGACGGAGGAAGUAAUCAAUAUCCAUCUCUGUCUAUGGAAAACUCAAAGCCGUAGAAGAUCCACUGGCACAUGAAGCUCUUAAAUGCAUGAUAGCCCCUUACAGCAAGGUCUUGCAAAACCACAACUAUGGUAAGUUGCAGUUGAACAAAAAAAAUCUUUACAACACGAGCUCAAAGAAAAAUAAGGGAUAAUAGAUUAUCUAAGCAGCAACUGGUGUAGUGGUCUGGGUAGAGAUCACACAAUGCCCGAAGACAACAACCUCAUAACACCCACCAUUUUAUAUACCGAUGGCACGUGCAGACUCUACUGAUAUUCCUCACUACUCACCAUGAGCAAAUGAUCAAAGCUAUCUAUUUGAUGCAUCUCUACAUAUGUAUCUUACUCCCUCCGUUCCUAAAUGUAAGUCUUUGUAAAGAUUCCACUAUAAACCGCAUACGGAUGUAUAUAGAUGCAUUUCAAAUUUAGAUUCAUUCAUUUUGCUCCGUAUGUAGUCCACCUAGUGGAAUCUCUACAAAGACUUAUAUUUAGGAACGGAGGGAGUACUUGAUAAAGGCAAUGUAAAUAUGUAUGUAUCGACUUUAUACCUAAAUAUCUAUUUACUUGUGCUCCAAUCAGUACCUACAUAUUUUAACAUGCAUGGUUUGAAUGCUUGGUUUGCCCUCGCCCUUUGCGCCAUGGGCGCAACAACUAAGUCUUGGCUGGAAUACCUCACCUCGCGGCUUGCCGCUCCUCUGUAAUUGUGCUCUAUAUAUAUCAUGUGACUAGAAUCAAGGUUAGUGUUUUCUUUUGGUGCCCAUUUUCUACUUAUUUCCAGAUCUUUGUGUUUCGAUGCGAUCCCACAUGCUAAUACGAAGUUUCUCAUGCUACAUGGCUUUUCUGGGAGCAAAAUCUGAUACAGUCUGCACUUCCAUGCUUUGGGUAAGGCAUUAUUAAUCUUUUUCUGCCUUUUUAACAGAACUAAAAUUUUCAUCAUAUGAUCUCUUUUUUCCUGAUGGCUGAUGCUCGGAAAUAUAGCAUAUGACAAGCAGACAGGUAAAGAGGUUGAAGUUGGAUUAGCAGGGCAUGGUCCACUAGCCAAUUCUUUAUCUCUACUAGGUGGCGUCGAGUGACUUUGUUAAGCAGACAUUUGACCUCCGCAUUAUGAUGUUAAUUUUCAUAAAUGCAGAAAUAGGUUGAUCUGUUAAUUCGCACUGGAAUUUCGGUUAAUCCGUUCCUGGUCUCUUGCUAUAUUUGCAUAACGUUGCAGGCCGUAUUGUUCUUAUGAUAAGGCCAUUCUCGAGGCGAUUGUACCAGCAGAUGAACGUAUUCCUGGGCGAGUUGUUAUGGCUUCAGCUGAUCUGGCUUGUGGGCUGGUGGUCAGGUAUUAAGGAUCUAAUUCUCGAUUCUUGCUUCGGUCUGAGCUGUGCGAUUUAUGUUUCGUCAGAGGUUUCUGUACUAACCAUCGUUAAAUAAGGUGAGGUAUGUACUUUAGCAAACUAGGCAACACUCAGCUCUACAUUCCUGUUUUUUUUUGGGAAAAAUAAUAAUUAGCAAUACAGCUCCUAACUUGCAUAUGCUUCGUUUGUACAUUUGAGUUACUGAAACUGUGGGUCCUCACCUGAUGAUCAGGAAGUAUGGCGGUUGAGAUGCAAAUAAACAGACAUAAUCUGUAUAGUCUUACGCUUAGUUCGUAUAGUCGUAGGCUUAGUUUAUUUAUUUACUUCAAUGGCGCCAUUUGAAUUGGUUGACCGUAGUUAUCUGUUUCUGGAAUUAGCAUUAUUUCAUGAGUGAUGAAUGGUUGUGCCAUGAUUUCACAUGUCCACACUUCCACUUCAACUUGUGUGAUUUUAUUAUUGGGCAUUUAUGAAACUCAUUGUCAAUUCUGUUGUACAGGGUACCUCAGCUACUUAUGCUUUGCUAGACAAUGAGGGUAUGUAGAUAGCAUGUAUGGUUUUUACAUUGUUUUGCGCAGGUUGAGAUGCAUCACAUGAUGUUUUCCUUUUACAUUUAUGGGUAUUACAGAGUCCUUUCUUUUUCCACUAGGGGCAGUAGCAGUGCCAUUCGAUUCGAAGGGCAAAGAGUUGAUUACAAAGGGGUAGCAUUCAGGAUAUAUACACACAAGAGUAUAAAACCAAAUUAUAUGAUGUAAUUGACCACUAUUUCUGUUAACUUCUCCUGUACACAAUGUUCACA